GAAGUUGAUGAUACGGAUCAGCAGGAAGCACCAGCACCAGAAAGUCCACCAGCUGCUCCACUCAGAAGAUCCAACAGGGGUCGAAUUCCUUCCAGCAGGUAUCCCUCAGAUCAAUACGUGGUGUUAUUAUCUGACGGUUCAGAACAUGAAUGCUUUGCAGAUGCAAUGAAAGAUGAGCACAAGAAGGAGUGGAAAAAGGCUAUGCAAGAAGAGAUGGAUUCCUUGCAUAAGAAUCAUACUUAUGAGUUGGUGAAGUUGCCCAAGGGCAAGAAAUUUUUGAAGAAUAAGUGGGUCUACAGAAUCAAGCAAGAACAGCACACAUCACAUCCAAGGUACAAAGCCAGGCUAGUUGUAAAAGGAUUUGGCCAGAGAGAAGGCAUUGACUAUGAUGAAAUUUUUUCUCCGGUUGUGAAGAUGGCAUCUAUAAGAGUAAUCCUU
This 438-nucleotide ribosomal RNA is filed under the name Triticum aestivum (bread wheat). RNAcentral describes it as "partial small subunit ribosomal RNA". Lineage: Eukaryota; Viridiplantae; Streptophyta; Magnoliopsida; Poales; Poaceae. The record is from RNAcentral.